UAUGUCUACUCUGUAUCACUUUCUGUGAUAAAAUCAUGCUCGGGAUGGAGUGGGGCUUGCAUAGGCUUGACCGUCUUAGUCAGUUGGAGAUUGAAGGUGGAUGUAAAAACGUGGAGUCAUUUCCAGAGGAGAAGUUGCUUCCCAGCAAUCUCAACUCUCUAUGCAUCCGCAGGCUUUCGAAUCUCAAAUAUCUGGACUACAAGGGGCUUCAACACCUUACUGCUCUGAAUUCACUUGAGAUUAGCUGCUGUGAUGAACUCCAGUCCUUGCCUGAAGAGUGUCUUCCAUCUUCCCUAUCUCUUCUCUGCAUCGGAGUGCUCUUUGCUGAAAUCAAACUUUUAAAUAAUAAAGGAAAAGAAUGGUUCAAGUUGGCUCAUAUCUCUUGCGUAGAAAUAGAUGAGGAAGUAAUAAAAGACUGGUCCGAGGUAGCUAAUGUCUCUUGCAAGGAAACUGAUGAGGAUGUAAAUCUCCUGGAAGAGCCCUAGUUUGAAGCAAUGAAAAUGAAAUUUCAGCAAGACUUCUUCGUAUUGGAUCACCAGUAAUUGCUAAUUUCCUACAUGGGUUCUUCUGCAGUUAUUCACAUUGGGUCUCCUACUUCAUGUUUUUGUUGUGUAUUUUUCUGCCUCUGUUUCGUGAUCAAAGAAAAGUGUCAUGUGAAUCUUUUUUCGGGCUUCCAACUCCAGCUCUCUGCAAAAGUUUGAGGAAUUUCCCAUUGCUCGAAGCAUUAUGUGGCUCAAAGGCGUCUUCUUAUAUGGGGGAGUUAUAGCAUUAGAAGAAGGCACUAAAAUAAGUGGAGCAGAUUUCUUCACCGAACUAGUUUGGUAUAUUAUGGGGUAUAAAGAUGCGUGUUAUUUAAGUUGGAUGUUGUUAAAGUGUUUGUUUAUGUUUUUAAGUGAAGUGUGUCAUUAUAUGUUUCGAAGUCUUGGGAUUGUAAGUUGACAUUGAUUUAAGAAACAGCUAGAAAGAAGUCUGAGUUGGGUGUAAACAAGAUAAAACUUGAUUUAAAUUUGUGAGGGUUUGCUAGUGUGUUUAAUAGGAGUUGGUCGAAUGUUUGUAAUUCAUAUUGUUGGUAAUGGAUUUUGAUUGGCAAUA
Molecule: long non-coding RNA, 1092 nt
Organism: Quercus robur (English oak)
Lineage: Eukaryota; Viridiplantae; Streptophyta; Magnoliopsida; Fagales; Fagaceae
Exons: 2
Source: RefSeq, a predicted model, not a curated record